Molecule: long non-coding RNA, 616 nt
Organism: Psammomys obesus (fat sand rat)
Lineage: Eukaryota; Metazoa; Chordata; Mammalia; Rodentia; Muridae
Exons: 3
Source: RefSeq, a predicted model, not a curated record
CAAGGCGGGAGUUUGGAGGUGUUGAGGGAAAUGCAGGCGUUUGAGUGUUCUCAGUCUCAAAUGUCAAUAAGGAAGAUCUGUGCUUGGAGCAGGCAGCACUGGGCUCUUUGCAAGUUGCUGUAUGCACUGCGAGCUGCCUCCUUUGCCUCCACUGCUGGCUGCAGUACCUCUGCCUCUGCCUCUGCUUCGGGCCAAGGGUUCCAGGACAGACAGAAACAGAGUCUGUGAAACAUCCUGAGCUGAGGUGAUGAAGAAGGAGUCCAGAGAAAUGUUUGGGUGGAGCUCGUCGGCUAAAGCAAAGAGGAUGGACAUCAGAAGAAAAAGAAAAUAGGAAACAACCUCGGAACCUACUACAGAGGGCCUCUGAAAGCCAGAAGAAAACAGGAAACAACCUUGAAACCUGCCACAGAGGGCCUCUGAAAGCUUCUGCAGUAUAGACUGUCAAAGCAGAUGCUGAGCCUGAUGGCCAACUGAUGGGCAGAGUGAAUGGAAUUUUAUGUAAGAAGUGGGAAAUAGUAAGAGCUGGAGGGGACAGGAACUCCACAAGGAGAGCAACAGAACAAGAUAAUUUGAACACAGGGAACUUCCCAGAAAAUCAUACUCCAACCAAGGACUA